GACGAACGCUGGCGGCGUGCCUAACACAUGCAAGUCGAGCGAGAAAGUCCCUUCGGGGGCGAGUACAGCGGCGAACGGGUGAGUAACACGUGGGCAACCUGCCCCAACGGAGCGGGACAACCUCGGGAACCGGGGCUAUACUGCAUGACCCGCCACGGCUCAAGCCGUGUCGGCAAAAGGUCGCUUCGGCCUCCGCCUUGGGAUGGGCCCGCGGCGCAUUAGCUUGUUGGUGAGGGUAACGGCCCACCAAGGCGACGAUGCGUAGCUGGUCUGAGAGGACGAUCAGCCACACUGGGACUGAGACACGGCCCAGACUCCUACGGGAGGGCAGCAGUGGGGAAUCUUGCGCAAUGGGCGAAAGCCUGACGCAGCAACGCCGCGUGAGGGACGAC
RNAcentral lists this ribosomal RNA (392 nucleotides) under uncultured bacterium. RNAcentral's name for it is "bacterial SSU rRNA". It matches the Rfam family "Bacterial small subunit ribosomal RNA", at positions 28 to 412 of the family's 1533-position model. The record is from RNAcentral.